AGUCGAGGGGUANAGUAGCAAUACUAGAGACCGGCGCACGGGUGCGUAACGCGUAUGCAAUCUACCUUUUGCAGAGGGAUAGCCCAGAGAAAUUUGGAUUAAUACCUCAUAGUAUAGUGAUACCGCAUGGUACUACUAUUAAAGUCACAACGGCAAAAGAUGAGCAUGCGUCCCAUUAGCUAGCUGGUAAGGUAACGGCUUACCAAGGCAACGAUGGGUAGGGGUCCUGAGAGGGAGAUCCCCCACACUGGUACUGAGACACGGACCAGACUCCUACGGGAGGCAGCAGUGAGGAAUAUUGGACAAUGGGCGCAAGCCUGAUCCAGCCAUGCCGCGUGCAGGAUGACGGUCCUAUGGAUUGUAAACUGCUUUUAUACGAGAAGAAACAUCCCGACGUGUCGGGACUUGACGGUAUCGUAAGAAUAAGGAUCGGCUAACUCCGUGCCAGCAGCCGCGGUAAUACGGAGGAUCCAAGCGUUAUCCGGAAUCAUUGGGUUUAAAGGGUCCGUAGGCGGUCUUAUAAGUCAGUGGUGAAAUCUCCCCGCUCAACGGGGAAACGGCCAUUGAUACUGUAGGACUUGAAUUAUUAGGAAGUAACUAGAAUAUGUAGUGUAGCGGUGAAAUGCUUAGAGAUUACAUGGAAUACCAAUUGCGAAGGCAGGUUACUACUAAUGGAUUGACGCUGAUGGACGAAAGCGUGGGUAGCGAACAGGAUUAGAUACCCUGGUAGUCCACGCCGUAAACGAUGGAUACUAGCUGUUGGGAGUAAUCUCAGUGGCUAAGCGAAAGUGAUAAGUAUCCCACCUGGGGAGUACGUUCGCAAGAAUGAAACUCAAAGGAAUUGACGGGGGCCCGCACAAGCGGUGGAGCAUGUGGUUUAAUUCGAUGAUACGCGAGGAACCUUACCAAGGCUUAAAUGUANAUUGACCGUUUUGGAAACNGAACUUUC
This 949-nucleotide ribosomal RNA is filed under the name uncultured bacterium. RNAcentral describes it as "bacterial SSU rRNA". It matches the Rfam family "Bacterial small subunit ribosomal RNA", at positions 60 to 1016 of the family's 1533-position model. The record is from RNAcentral.